RNAcentral lists this ribosomal RNA (770 nucleotides) under uncultured Neocallimastigales. RNAcentral's name for it is "partial large subunit ribosomal RNA". It matches the Rfam family "Eukaryotic large subunit ribosomal RNA", at positions 22 to 643 of the family's 3401-position model. Lineage: Eukaryota; Fungi; Neocallimastigomycota; Neocallimastigomycetes; Neocallimastigales. The record is from RNAcentral.
GUACACGCUGUGACUAGCAUAUCAAUAAGCGGAGGAAAAGAAACUAACAAGGAUUCCCUCAGUAACGGCGAGUGAAGCGGGAAGAGCUCAAAUUUGAAAUCUUGAAAGGUCACCUUUCACGAAUUGUAGUUUAAAGAAGUGUUUUCUGUUACGAUCGUAAUAUAAGUUCUUUGGAAUAGGACAUCACAGAGGGUGAGAAUCCCGUCUAUGAUUGCGAUUUGUAGCUUUGUGAUACACUUUCAAAGAGUCGGGUUGUUUGGGAAUGCAGCCCAAAACGGGAGGUAAAUUUCUUCUAAGGCUAAAUAUUGGCGAGAGACCGAUAGCGAACAAGUACCGUGAGGGAAAGAUGAAAAGAACUUUGAAAAGAGAGUUAAAUAGUACGUGAAAUUGUCAAAAGGGAAGCGUUUAACACCAGUGUUGUUUUCUGAAAAUCAACCUCUGUUAGCUUUAUGCAUGUUUGUUUAGACCUAAUCAGCUAUCUUGCAUGUUCUAUUGUUUGCAGUGGUGCACUUUUCGGUUUACAGGUCAACAUCAGUUUUUUUUACCGUAAAAAAGUUAAAGAAAGGUAGCUCAUGGCUCCGGUCGUGAGUGUUAUAGUCUUUUUCCUAUGCGGUAGGAGAGACUGAGGUCUGCAGUGUAGGCUAUUUGGCUAGAUACUCAGGUGCUAUGUGAUACCAUUUCAUAAACAACUUGUUGAUUAUGUUUUGUCUAUUGCAUACUCGCUUGUACUAUCAUACCUACGCUUAGGAUGUUGAACUACUGAGACAUAG